AUGAGAGUUCAAGAGUACGUGAAACCGAUUGACGGGUAAACGCAGUCUUUCUCGAAGUGUCCGCCAGGCACAAUUCAGCCCUGCUACUCGUAGCUGGUGCAGUUUGUGUAGGCAGGCCGUGGUAGGAACUGAUUACUAGGGGGCCAGGGCCGAUGCCUAGGUUUGCUUUCGCUGCAGUUCGCCUGCAGUGUCAGCCCUGGGCAGAGACAAGCUGGCGGUAGUCAGGGAGUAGCUUCUGCUUAGCGGAAGCUCUUCUACCAAGUAGAUCGGCGAAAGCUGCGACCCGUCUUGAAACACGGACC
This 302-nucleotide ribosomal RNA is filed under the name Acartia danae. RNAcentral's name for it is "partial 28S ribosomal RNA". Lineage: Eukaryota; Metazoa; Arthropoda; Copepoda; Calanoida; Acartiidae. The record is from RNAcentral.